AAAGAUCAUUGACGAGAGUAAUGGUUGGAUGUAUGGACGUCUGUAUCUAGUAUGAGAAAUUAACGAUUUAAGUCCUUCUUAAAUGAGGCCAUUUACCCAUAGAGGGUGCCAGGCCCGUAUAACGUUAAUGAUUACUAGAAGAUGUUUCCAAAGAGUCGUGUUGCUUGAUAGUGCAGCACUAAGUGGGUGGUAAACUCCAUCUAAAACUAAAUAUAACCAUGAGACCGAUAGUAAACAAGUACCGUGAGGGAAAGUUGAAAAGAACUCUGAAUAGAGAGUUAAAUAGUACGUGAAACUGCUUAGAGGUUAAGCCCGAUGAACCUGAAUAUCCGUUAUGGAAAAUUCAUCAUUAUAUCUGUAAUAUUUAUAAUAUCAUAGAAAUGGUGUGCAUUUUUUCCAUAUAAGGACAUUGUAAUCUAUUAACAUAAUAUAUAUUUAUCAAAAGGUCAUUUGCUUAUGUUUAUUCAAAUUAAUUUGCUUGCAAGUUAACACAGAAUAAAUGCUUAUGAUUUGAUAAAGUGUUGAUAGAUUAAUAAUAUAUAGUGCUUAAAUACUUUUGUAUUUUACAAUGGUGUAAUUAUCUUAUGAUUUUUAUAUCUAUUGUAUGCGCUUAUAUGAUUAACAAUGCGAUAGAUUCAGGAUACCUUCGGGACCCGUCUUGAAACACGGACCAAGGAGUCUAACAUAUGUGCAAGUCAUUGGGAUUAUUUAUAUAAACCCAAAGGCGUAAUUAACUUAACUGUUUAAAUGGGAUUAGUUUUUAGUCUUUAUGUCUAUUAAUUCAAUCCCGGGGCGUUCUAUACAGUUAUGUAUAAUAAUAUUUAUAUUAUUUAUACCUCUAACUAGAGCGUACCUUGAGCAUAUAUGCUGUGACCCGAAAGAUGGUGGGUUUUUUUUUUUUUUUUUUUGUUUUGUUGUUUGCCAAGUAUCAACAUAGUAACAUAACAACAGUAUAGUGGA
Molecule: ribosomal RNA, 960 nt
Filed under: Sapromyza opaca
Lineage: Eukaryota; Metazoa; Arthropoda; Insecta; Diptera; Lauxaniidae
Description: eukaryotic LSU rRNA
Rfam family: Eukaryotic large subunit ribosomal RNA
Source: RNAcentral